RNAcentral lists this transfer RNA (71 nucleotides) under Loxodonta africana (African savanna elephant). It matches the Rfam family "tRNA". Rfam says of the family: Transfer RNA (tRNA) molecules are approximately 80 nucleotides in length. Their secondary structure includes four short double-helical elements and three loops (D, anti-codon, and T loops). Lineage: Eukaryota; Metazoa; Chordata; Mammalia; Proboscidea; Elephantidae. The record is from Rfam by way of RNAcentral.
ACAUUGGUGCUACAGUGGUAGAAUUCUCACCUUCCAUGUGUGAGACCCGGGUUUGAUUCCCAGCCAGUGCA